This 488-nucleotide ribosomal RNA is filed under the name uncultured bacterium. RNAcentral's name for it is "partial 16S ribosomal RNA". It matches the Rfam family "Bacterial small subunit ribosomal RNA", at positions 28 to 507 of the family's 1533-position model. The record is from RNAcentral.
GACGAACGCUGGCGGCGUGCCUAACACAUGCAAGUCGAGCGGAAAGGCCAGACUUUUGCGGGGUGGACGAGAGGCGAAGGGGUGAGUAAAACGUGAGUAAAAUGCACUUGAAAGAGGGAUAAAAUCAGGGAAAAGGGGAUAAUAUCGGGUAGGAGCUUCUGAAGCAUGGGGGGGGAAGGAAAGAUACGGCGGUGGGGGAAGGACUAGCGGUGUAUUAGCUAGUUGGUGAGGUAGCGGCUUAACAAGGCAACGAAGGGUAGCCGGCCUGAGAGGGUGAUCGGUCACACUGGAACUGAGACACGGUCCAGACUCCUACGGGAGGCAGCAGUAGGGAAUCUUCCGCAAUGAGCGAAAGCCUGACGGAGCAACGCCGCGUGAGUGAUGAAGGUCUUCGGAUCGUAAAACUCUGUUAUUAGGGAAGAACAUAUGUGUAAGUAACUGUGCACAUCUUGACGGUACCUAAUCAGAAAGCCACGGCUAACUACGUG